This 208-nucleotide unclassified non-coding RNA is filed under the name root metagenome. RNAcentral's name for it is "partial contains small subunit ribosomal RNA, internal transcribed spacer 1, and 5.8S ribosomal RNA". The record is from RNAcentral.
UCUCCGUUGGUGAACCAGCGGAGGGAUCAUUACCGAGUUUACAACUCCCAAACCCCUGUGAACAUACCACUUGUUGCCUCGGCGGAUCAGCCCGCUCCCGGUAAAACGGGACGGCCCGCCAGAGGACCCCUAAACUCUGUUUUUAUUGUAACUUCUGAGUAAAACCAUAAAUAAAUCAAAACUUUCAACAACGGAUCUCUUGGUUCUG